AAAAAACACUUUUACUUUUAUCUUAAUAUUGGGCUUGGUUCUUAGGGUAUGAGUAGAGGGCUCACCCUUAAACUUAAGUAUUUCCUCGUUGCUACCCUCAGUUCUAUUUGUGGGUUUCUGUAAGUUUCAGCUAUGUCAAGAUGGCAUGAAUGCCUGUGUGUUUGGCACUCUAAUAGUUACCUCCCACUUCUGAUUCUGUCUCUUCUAGGGACUCCUGGUGGCUUUCAGGGUUCAGAGUACUGUGAAUUACCUUGUCCUGGCCCUCAGGGCCUCAUCUCAAACCCAGACUUGACCUGGAACAAAGAAAGUGAGCUCUCAGAGCAAUUUCAAAAGCAGAGAAAUCUUGAGGAGUUUGAUACUUCUAAUCCUCCAGUCAUUGAUUGCCUUGUGAGUGUAGAGUUGUAAAGUGGUGGGAAUAAAAGUCAGCCACUUCCUGGUCCUUGAUAUUCU
RNAcentral lists this long non-coding RNA (450 nucleotides) under Monodelphis domestica (gray short-tailed opossum). RNAcentral's name for it is "lncRNA (ENSMODG00000048496.1)". The record is from RNAcentral. Lineage: Eukaryota; Metazoa; Chordata; Mammalia; Didelphimorphia; Didelphidae.